This 925-nucleotide non-coding RNA is filed under the name Sphenodon punctatus (tuatara). Lineage: Eukaryota; Metazoa; Chordata; Lepidosauria; Sphenodontia; Sphenodontidae. The record is from RNAcentral.
CAAAGAUUUGGUCAUAAACUUACUGUUACUUAACUCUUAAAUUACACAUGCAAGUAUCAGCACACCAGUGAAAAUGCCCUUAAAACAAUCACCAAAGGAGCCGGCAUCAGGCACACCAAAGUGGCCAAAGACGCCUUGCCUCGCCACACCCCCAAGGGUACACAGCAGUGAUUAAUAUUAAGCCAUAAGUGAAAACUUGACUUAGUUAUAGAGACCACGGCCGGUCAAUUUCGUGCCAGCCACCGCGGUUAAACGAAUUUUAGGCCGAAAGUAAGAGCCAAACGGCGUAAAAGUAACUAAAUCACCACCCCUUCACUAAACCCAAGAAAAAACUAAGAUGAGUUGUAAAAAACGCACACCUAUAAAAACCUCUACAUGAAGAUGUCUUGGGGCCAAGAAUAAAAUUGAACUUACUAAAAUUAAGGGACAAACUGGGAUUAGAUACCCCACUAUGCUUAAUCCUAAACAUCGACACCUAAACAUACAAGGGUGUUCGCCCGGGAACUACCAGCAAAACGCUAGAAACCCUAAAGACUUGACGGUGCCCCAAAACCCCCUAGAGGAGCCUGUUCUAUAAUUGAUGAUCCGCAAUAAACCUCACCAUUUUUCGCCCCCAGCCUAUAUACCGCCGUCGCCAGUCUACCUUGUGAAAGAACUAAGUAGGUCAAACAGCAUUACCGCUAAUACGUCAGGUCAAGGUGCAGCCAAUAAAAUGGAAAGAAAUGGGCUACAUUCCCACAAAACCGGGAAAUACUAAAAGUUAAAAUGAAAAAAUAACAAGAAGGUGGAUUUAGUAGUAAACUAGAACCAUAAUAUCAAGUUGAAAAAGGCUCUGGAGCGCGUACACACCGCCCGUCACCCUCCUAUUAAACCAAAAGGAGGCAAGUCGUAACACGGUAAGCAUACUGGAAAGUGUGCUUGGAAA